Magnolia sinica is the source of this 1241-nucleotide long non-coding RNA. RefSeq lists it as uncharacterized. NCBI's taxonomy places the organism in Eukaryota, Viridiplantae, Streptophyta, Magnoliopsida, Magnoliales, Magnoliaceae. The transcript is spliced from 4 exons. The record is from RefSeq and is a predicted model, not a curated record.
UCUCUCAGCGCAUCAUCUCCAGCACCAUCUCCAGAUCUGGUGCGGCCAGCAGCCCCCACCCUUAACCUCUUCCCUAACCAGGUUUUUAUAUACAGAGAUUGGACGUCUUCAGAACAUUCACAAUAGCCAUAGAUGCAGUGGAUACGAACAAUUGCAAGUCGAUGAUUCUACAAGCUUGUUUUUUCUCUCAGGGACAGAUUUUCCUGGCCAAGGAAAAUGGCAAAAUGAGACCGGGCUGGAAAUUGCAUCUAUAUAUCACACAGAUGCCAUGUGAGGAUGCAUCAAUGACUUCACCAUUGUCAUCAUUGAGUCAUGAGCCCCAACCAAAAGAGAAUUUGCUGUCUAUACUCAAAGCCCCAGGUUCUAUGGGAUGAUGAUUUAGAUGAAUCGAUUUACACUCCAGGUUUGUUGGUUUGAGCUAAUCCCUUUUUUUCUUUUAGUUUUCUCCAUAAUCUUUCAAAAAGGGACAAAAUCUUCAUAAUUCAUUAAUUCUUUUUUCCAUAUAGAUUGCUGAUGUGUUGUUGGGAGCACGUCAUCUCAAAAUUACAAAAGAUUACAGUUCUAUUUUUUUUCCUCCGAUGAAUCUAUUUUGGAGCAGUUCCAUACUUUGUUUCAUUUAUUUUUCAAAAAUAAAAAAUACAGUUCAUCUAAAAAAAAUCAUGGUUCACAGUUCCAUGUUCUGUAUCUUGGAAGAGAACAGUUCCAUAGUUCAUAAUAGUCACUUCUUGGGCCGCAAUGGCCAAGAAGUGAAAAUAGAAAACUAUGGAGGUUCAGUUAUCCAAACUAGUAAUAUGAUGGGUUUCGCUAUUGAUGACCCACACACCAAAGUUCCUCAAGAGUCAAGAUUGAAAUAUUCCAACCCUUCAAUACCCAGCCAAGAAGUACACAUUUAAGAAAGAAAAAAUAGUGAUAGAUCGAACUCAAUAGAAAACUGGCCAAAUAUCAAUGACUAGGAUCUGGCAGUCUUGGGUUUUUUUUUUUUGGUUGCAUCACAUCAACAAUUUGAACCAUACUUCUUUGCCAUUUUACGUCUGCUUAUUUAUAACAUGUGGGCUUUUCUCUAGAUUGGUCAUAACAUGUUCUAGUAGAGGAACCUAGUUCAAAUGAUGCUGGUUCUUCAGUUCUCAUUUUUGGUCCCUUAGUUAUUGGACCUUAUCAUAAAAGCUACCUUCUCCUAUGGUCCAUCUGCUUUGUAUUUUUUCCGGUCAGAGGAGGAAAAGGAGAUCCUUCUACUAGAAACU